AUCCAGACUCCUACGGGAGGCAGCAGUGAGGAAUAUUGGUCAAUGGGAGAGAUCCUGAACCAGCCAAGCCGCGUGAGGGAAGACGGCCCUAUGGGUUGUAAACCUCUUUUGUCGGAGAACAAAACCCGGGACGAGUCCCGGACUGCGUGUAUCCGAAGAAAAAGCAUCGGCUAACUCCGUGCCAGCAGCCGCGGUAAUACGGAGGAUGCGAGCGUUAUCCGGAUUUAUUGGGUUUAAAGGGUGCGUAGGCGGUCCGUUAAGUCAGGGGUAAAAGUGGGGGGCUCAACCCCGUCGAGCCGUUGAAACUGGCAGACUUGAGUUGGCGAGAAGUACGCGGAAUGCGCGGUGUAGCGGUGAAAUGCAUAGAUAUCGCGCAGAACUCCGAUUGCGAAGGCAGCGUACCGGCGCCAGACUGACGCGGAGGCACGAAAGCGUGGGGAUCGAACAGGAUUAGAUACCCGUG
This 463-nucleotide ribosomal RNA is filed under the name uncultured bacterium. RNAcentral describes it as "bacterial SSU rRNA". It matches the Rfam family "Bacterial small subunit ribosomal RNA", at positions 329 to 790 of the family's 1533-position model. The record is from RNAcentral.